AUCUUUUUUUUUCUCUCCAGUUAUCCCACUCUUCAAAAUAGCCUGAAACCAGAAGCAAUAAAGAAUGAAAAUAUGAGUACAAGGGGAAGCGCUAUAGCUCAAGGUCAAGGAUCAGGAAAGGGGUCUAAUGGACAGAAAGAAGAUGUCCUGUUGUUUUCUUGAGCAAAAUCCAAAGAACACAAGAACCAAGGUUUGGAGUUUCAGCUCCCUGCUUUCCUUUGACAGGAAAUCCAGCUGUCAAAUUUGGUUUACAGUGGGAAUUUUACAAAGAAAAUUCCAUUUGAACAAAAGUGAUUUAGAAGAAACAUAAAGGAAUGAGGAACUAUGAAAACCAAGUGCCUUGCUUCAACCAGUUUGUCAGAAAGUUCUCCUGACUCUGAAUAGAGACUGCUAAACUUGCUGUGACAUGUCCCUGAGUGACAUGUCUACUCCUUGAGGAGCAAACAAAAUCUAGAAUUAGUCAAAUCAUAAAAUGGCAACCCAAACUUGAAUAGACAUAGUCUACCUGAACAAAAAUCCCCAGGGGCAACCACAGAGCACUGCUGAUUCCAGAAGUAUUGGAUCUCACCGUGCAUUUAUUUGUACAUUUCUUUUUAAUGCUUGCACAAGAAUGAUAUGAUAAUGACAAAUUAAAACUCCUUUUGUUUUCAGUAAAUGUAACAUCAAACUUAAGUGGUAGUGUACUGGAAUCUAUAUCUCAGCUGUGAUGAUAAUAUUAUUACUGCAUGUAUUUGUGAAAACUUGGCUGAACUACAUGUUAACUGAGGUGUUUACCUAAUUUAAAUUAUGCAUUUAUGAGAUUUUUAAAAUAUUGUAUUAGUUCAAUUGGCACUGCUUUUUUUAAUUUCCUCUUUGUAGUUUAUAAAAUGGUUCCUCUGAACAUUUGAUGGCCUAAAGAUUGACAUUAGUGGGCUGAAAUGAAAUUCUUUUGUGUCUGACCAGUGUUCUAUGUUGGGUUUAUUUCCCAUAACUAAACAUAAACAUACUCACCGAUUUUUCACAAUUUUCUUGGUUCUAAAACUAGUGACUUACAAAAACGUAUUCUGACUCCCAGAAAACAUCAGUUAUAUGUUUUAAAAUUUUCUAUCUGAAAGAUAUUAAGGAUGGAAUCAACAAGAGAUAAAUGAAAAAAUGGCACACCCAAAAAGUACAUCCAGGUUACUGUCAUCAAGUUAAGACCAGGAAUAAAUCAAGAACCUGAGCAACCAUCUGCAAAAGUUCAGAGGGAGAAAAAUGUUUUCAUUUAUAUUCUCUAAGUUAAACUCUAGAAGCAUCUAGAUAGAUCAAUCUAAAUUCAUAUUUUUUUCCUGAGGUUCAGUAGUUCUUAUAGACCUGAGAAUAUAAAACACAUUUGGUUUCAUUCUACAAUGAAUAUACCUGCAGCAUGCUCUUGAUUUCUCACAGCCACUCCCUUACUUGGUCAGAUGCAAAUUUGUGAUUGCCAUGAUAACCCAUUUCAAACUGAGGCUUUGAAAUUUUCCUCUGACAUCACAAGUAGCUAAAGGUAUUUUGAGACAUAUCUCACCAACAGCAAGCACCAGAUAUAAGAGAACUAAAUCAUUUU
This is a long non-coding RNA of Marmota monax (woodchuck), 1564 nucleotides long. RefSeq lists it as uncharacterized. Lineage: Eukaryota; Metazoa; Chordata; Mammalia; Rodentia; Sciuridae. The transcript is spliced from 3 exons. The record is from RefSeq and is a predicted model, not a curated record.